RNAcentral lists this ribosomal RNA (444 nucleotides) under uncultured bacterium. RNAcentral describes it as "bacterial SSU rRNA". It matches the Rfam family "Bacterial small subunit ribosomal RNA", at positions 335 to 769 of the family's 1533-position model. The record is from RNAcentral.
ACUCCUACGGGAGGCAGCAGUAGGGAAUCUUCCACAAUGGGACGAAAGUCUGAUGGAGCAACGCCGCGUGAGUGAAGAAGGGUUUCGGCUCGUAAAACUCUGUUGUUAAAGAAGAACAUAUCUGAGAGUAACUGUUCAGGUAUUGACGGUAUUUAACCAGAAAGCCACGGCUAACUACGUGCCAGCAGCCGCGGUAAUACGUAGGUGGCAAGCGUUGUCCGGAUUUAUUGGGGCGUAAAGCGAGCGCAGGCGGUUUUUAAGUCUGAUGUGAAAGCCUUCGGCUCAACCGAAGAAGUGCAUCGGAAACUGGGAAACUUGAGUGCAGAAGAGGACAGGUGGAACUCCAUGUGUAGCGGUGAAAUGCGUAGAUAUAUGGAAGAACACCAGUGGCGAAGGCGGCUGUCUGGUCUGUAACUGACGCUGAGGCUCGAAAGUAUAGGUAGC